Molecule: ribosomal RNA, 163 nt
Filed under: Quercus trojana
Lineage: Eukaryota; Viridiplantae; Streptophyta; Magnoliopsida; Fagales; Fagaceae
Description: 5.8S ribosomal RNA
Rfam family: 5.8S ribosomal RNA
About the family: 5.8S ribosomal RNA (5.8S rRNA) is a component of the large subunit of the eukaryotic ribosome. It is transcribed by RNA polymerase I as part of the 45S precursor that also contains 18S and 28S rRNA. Functionally, it is thought that 5.8S rRNA may be involved in ribosome translocation.
Source: RNAcentral
AAACGACUCUCGGCAACGGAUAUCUAGGCUCUCGCAUCGAUGAAAAACGUAGCGAAAUGCGAUACUUGGUGUGAAUUGCAGAAUCCCGCGAAUCAUCGAGUUUUUGAACGCAAGUUGCGCCCGAAGCCUUUCGGCCGAGGGCACGUUUGCCUGGGUGUCACGC